RNAcentral lists this ribosomal RNA (219 nucleotides) under uncultured fungus. Its description in RNAcentral is "partial small subunit ribosomal RNA". The stretch from base 100 to 219 matches the Rfam family "Eukaryotic small subunit ribosomal RNA", at positions 742 to 864 of the family's 1831-position model. The record is from RNAcentral. Lineage: Eukaryota; Fungi.
GGCAGAGACGUUCGGUCUGCUUCGAAAGGAGUGUGUACUAGAACUUUUCGGCCAUCCUCGAGGUAUUGUACUGCUGGCAUUCAGUUGUUGGUGGUACGGUCUUCGUCAUUUACUGUGAGUAAACUAGAGUGUUCAAAGCAGGCUUAGGCCGUUGAAUACAUUAGCAUGGAAUAAUAAGAUAGGACCUUGGUCUAUUUUGUUGGUUUGUAUUCCAAGGUA